GACGAACGCUGGCGGCGUGCUUAACACAUGCAAGUCGAACGCAGUGGAGAACGGGUGAGUAACGCGUAAUCAACCUGCCCUUCAGAGGGGGACACCAGUUGGAAACGACUGCUAAUAACGCAUACUGAAGGAGGGGAUUGCGUCUGAUUAGCUAGUUGGAGGGGUAACGGCCCACCAAGGAGAUGAUCAGUAGCCGGUCUGAGAGGAUGAACGGCAGCAUUGGGACUGAGACACGGCCCAGACGCCUACGGGAGGCAGCAGUGGGGAAUCUUCCGCAAUGGACGAAAGUCUGACGGAGCAACGCCGCGUGAGUGAUGACGGCCUUCGGGUUGUAAAGCUCUGUUAAUCGGGACGCGGUACCGGAAUAGAAAGCCACGGCUAACUACGUGCCAGCAGCCGCGGUAAUAC
Molecule: ribosomal RNA, 408 nt
Filed under: uncultured bacterium
Lineage: Bacteria
Description: partial 16S ribosomal RNA
Rfam family: Bacterial small subunit ribosomal RNA
Source: RNAcentral